Long non-coding RNA from Sander lucioperca (pikeperch), 113 nucleotides. RefSeq lists it as uncharacterized. The transcript is spliced from 2 exons. The record is from RefSeq and is a predicted model, not a curated record. Lineage: Eukaryota; Metazoa; Chordata; Actinopteri; Perciformes; Percidae.
GGAGGGGGGAGGAGUUACCUGAGCCUGUGCACAGGGACGGCACAGGUCAGUCAAAGAAGUCCUCUUCUCAACCAGCCCUUUUUACCUCAGUAAUGUUGGAGAUACAGGACUGU